Molecule: long non-coding RNA, 2389 nt
Organism: Pipistrellus kuhlii (Kuhl's pipistrelle)
Lineage: Eukaryota; Metazoa; Chordata; Mammalia; Chiroptera; Vespertilionidae
Exons: 2
Source: RefSeq, a predicted model, not a curated record
AGUAUCCUCAGAUGAGGAUUAACAGCAAAAACAAAGUUAAAUUACAAAACUGAUGAGUGCUAUGAAAGAAACAAAUAGUGAUGGAAGGGCUGAGUGCAAUGGGCCCGCCAGGGGAGGGACUGUCCUGGAGAGGGAGUCACGAAGCGGGGGCAAGAGUGGGUGGGGAGCUCUGAUUAUAGCGGUUGCUAUCAUGAUCUAGGGGAUUUUGACAAUGGGCUUUGACUAGCUGCUCCAACCCAGCUUGGUUCAGAAAUGAAAUGGUGCUAGUCAUAAGAGGGGCCAGGCAGGCACCCUAACACAAUUGGGAGUAAGAGAAAGGGUCCAGCUGAUGGGCCCUGAGGGGAUGCAGGCUCAGGUAGCCAGAUGUUCCUGUUCUUUCUACCUGUUGGCAUGUGAGCUUCCUUUAUUCUCCUCUUCCCCUCACUUCCUUUAUAGGUUUUUUUUCCUCCUUUCUUUUCUCUCAUUCUUUUCUGCUCUGUGCUGGCCAUUGGCUCAUCAUAGAUGAGCAAGACAUACUUCUCUCCCUCCAGGAUCUUAUGGACUGGUAGGGACCUCACUCAAGACUCAGUUUUGUGCCCAGAAUCUGGUAGGGGUUUCCAACAGCCCACAACAAGCCCGUGAGACAGAGGAGCGGGUAGGCGGGGAGUAGCUUCUCCGACACUUCGAGGACAAGCAGGGACCGAGAGCAAGAGUGUCUGGUAAAGACAGUGCAUGGCCUAGCAAAGGUGGGGAGGUGCUCAGGUGUGUCUUGGGCAAAGGUGCCCCGGGUGCGGUUUGGGAGCACCUGGUUUUGCAGGCCCCACAGGAGUUUAGCUUUAUGCAGAGAUGACCAGGACCAAUGCAGGAUUUAGGACAGAGGAAUGACAUGGUCAGAUCUUAGUUUAGAAACAUCCUUCUGACUACCAUCUGGCCUUGGGGAGACAAGUGGGGAGGUUGCAGUCAGCCAGGCAGGUGAUUGGUGGUGUCCUGGGCUGGGGGAGUCAGCAGGAGGUGGAGAGGAAGAGGAACACAGCUGAUGUUUCACUCACCUGAGCAUUCGCUGUCUGCCAGGCCCUGUUCUAAGCACAAUAGGUAGGUGUGACCCUCAUGUAACCUCCAAACAACUCUUGGAGAUACUAUUAUUACCUUCAUUUUACAAGUAAGGAGUGGGAGAGGGGAAGAGCUUGCUGAUGGGUGAGAGAGGAGGAAACAAGGGAUCUGGGGGUUCCAGUCUCUGGCUCCAUAAGGUCAGAGUGCCACCCAUGAGACCCCAGCCACAGAAGAGGAUGGCUGAGGGGUGGGGAAGAGGAAUUUGGUUUGGACAUGUCGCCUGGGGCCAUCCAAGCAGAGUUGUUCCCUGCAGAGUUGGACAUUUAUUCGGGUUUGAGACUCCUGGAGAAGAUGAGCUGAAAGUGGAGAUUUGAGGAUCAUGGCACAGCUGUAGUGCUUGAAGCCAUAGGCAUGGACAAGCUCGCCAGGGAGCAUGUGAUGAGUGAGGAGAGAUGCCCGGUGGAAGGGCUGAUGAGGCAAAGCAGUGGCAAAGGAGCACCAGGGCAGCCAGGAAUCUGGGGGCGGGAGGGAGGGGGGGAGCAGAGAGCCUUGGGCAGGGCUGGGCAUGGGCGAUGGAUACCCAUAACAUUUCACUGCAGAGACUAGGUUAAGGAGUAUCCACUAAGCACAGAGAACAGGCCUGCUGGAGCAGUUUUUACCCAAUGGGUGACAGGGGCAGCAGCUGGGAAGAUCAAUGGGAGGUGAAGAAGCAGGACCCGGGUGGGCCCGAGCUUUCCACAGCUUGACUGUGAGGUGCAGGAGAAAUCUGAGUGAAGGUAGCUGAGGAUUCAGUGUGAGAAAUGAAGUGUGGCUUUUAGCAUGUCCUAAAUUUUCCCAUUUACAGCCUUGAUUUUAAUUAAUCUACAGAGCUUCAGUAACUGAAUCCUACCAAGAACUUACUACCAUAAACCUCAGCUAUCCAGAAUUUUCAGAAAGAGAGCCACUCUGGAAAACCAACGUUUAUCUGGAUAAAAAUACUUGACUUACAGGAUUACUUACUUUUUUAAAUGUGCUCAUUAUGGAAAUUAUCAAACAUAAAAGUCAAGGGAAGAAUAUAAUGAACCCACCAUCCAACCUGAAGAGUUAUCAAUUCAAGGUCAAAUGCUGUGCCAUCCACACACCCCACAUCUGGGGUAUUUAAAAGCAGAUCCUAGACACUAUAUCGAUUCCUCCAGAAAGCUUUAAUACAUUUCUCCAAAAGAAGACUUUUAAAAAUAUAACCACAAUACUUUUAUUACUCCAAAAAAUUAAUAAUUUUUUAAUUCAGUAUCCAUUGUCCAAAUCUCCCCAAUUGUCUCACUCCCCCCACGCCCUUGUUAGUUGGUUAAAAUUAGGCUUCGAACAAGGUUUACAUACUGCA